This 261-nucleotide ribosomal RNA is filed under the name uncultured prokaryote. RNAcentral describes it as "partial 16S ribosomal RNA". It matches the Rfam family "Bacterial small subunit ribosomal RNA", at positions 524 to 784 of the family's 1533-position model. The record is from RNAcentral.
UACGGAGGAUCCGAGCGUUAUCCGGAUUUAUUGGGUUUAAAGGGUGCGCAGGCGGGAGAUUAAGUCGGCGGUGAAAUUUUGCAGCUCAACUGUAAAAGUGCCUUCGAUACUGGUUUCCUUGAGUGUGGAUGAAGUAGGCGGAAUUUGUGGUGUAGCGGUGAAAUGCUUAGAUAUCACACAGAACACCGAUUGCGAAGGCAGCUUACUAAUCCAUCAUUGACGCUGAGGCACGAAAGCGUGGGGAUCAAACAGGAUUAGAUA